This 459-nucleotide ribosomal RNA is filed under the name uncultured bacterium. Its description in RNAcentral is "partial 16S ribosomal RNA". It matches the Rfam family "Bacterial small subunit ribosomal RNA", at positions 338 to 795 of the family's 1533-position model. The record is from RNAcentral.
CCUACGGGAGGCAGCAGUGAGGAAUAUUGGUCAAUGGCCGGAAGGUUGAACCAGCCAAGCCGCGUGAAGGACGCAGGUGCCAAGCAUUGUAAACUUCUUUUGUCAAGGGACAAAAUCAGGCUCGAGCGCCUGACCGAGGGUACUUGAAGAAAAAACAUCGGCUAACUCCGUGCCAGCAGCCGCGGUAAUACGGAGGAUGCGAGCGUUAUCCGGAUUUCUUGGGGUUAAAGGGUGCGUAGGCGGACUGUUAAGUCAGCGGUAAAAGCCCGGGGCGCAACCCCGGCGAGCCGUUGAAACUGGCUGUCUUGAGAUGUCGAGAGGUAUGCGGAAUGCGCAGGGGAGCGGGGAAAUGCUUAGAUAUUGCGCAGAACUCCGAUUGCGAAGGCAGCAUACCGGCGGCGAUCUGACGCUGAGGCACGAAAGCGUGGGUAUCGAACAGGAUUAGAUACCCGAGUAGUC